AAUUAAUGUUUGCAUAUAUUUAUAUAAAAGCGAUAUAAAAUUUGAUAUGGCGCAUGCGCAGUGUAGAAAAUCGUUCCGAUUAUUCGCUCUGCCUUGGCACUGCUGUCACCGUGUUUACAAGUUUUAUUUUUUGUAAAAGCGAUAGUUAUUAUUUGAAUAUUUAUCCCGUGCAAAAAAAAUGUUUAAAAAAUAAACGGGGAGAGAGAAGAAUUUAUACGGUCAGUUCUGACAAUCCGCCUGCGCUACCGCUAAAGACGGCGCUCCUUCCUAAUUUCGAAUAAUGGCGCCGAAACGAAGGACGUUAACUGGUCGUAGGGAAAAGAAAAGGAGAUGUACUGAAGCACGUGUUUGAUAUGAACAGGAAAAACCGUUUUAGAUCAAAUAUAGAUGUGCUGUUGCUGAUGAUAUUUCAAAUGUAAGACCAUUCAACUUGGGGUAUUUAGAUAAUGAAUGUAGUUAUUGCUCUGCACUAUACUUUUCGUGU
Molecule: long non-coding RNA, 484 nt
Filed under: Androctonus crassicauda
Lineage: Eukaryota; Metazoa; Arthropoda; Arachnida; Scorpiones; Buthidae
Source: RNAcentral